UACGUAGGGUGCAAGCGUUGUCCGGAAUUAUUGGGCGUAAAGAGCUCGUAGGCGGUUUGUUGCGUCGGCUGUGAAAUCCCGAGGCUCAACCUCGGGUCUGCAGUCGAUACGAGCAAACUAGAGUGUUGCAGGGGAGACUGGAAUUCCCGGUGUAGCGGUGAAAUGCGCAGAUAUCGGGAAGAACACCCGUGGCGAAGGCGGUUCUCUGGGACGGUACUGACGCUGAGACGCGAAAGCGUGGGGAGCGAACAGG
RNAcentral lists this ribosomal RNA (253 nucleotides) under uncultured bacterium. RNAcentral describes it as "partial 16S ribosomal RNA". It matches the Rfam family "Bacterial small subunit ribosomal RNA", at positions 524 to 776 of the family's 1533-position model. The record is from RNAcentral.